GUGCGAGACCGAUAGCGAACAAGUACCGUGAGGAAAAGAUGAAAAGAACUUUGAAAAGAGAGUUAAAGAGUACCUGAAACUGCUGAAAGGGAAGUGAAUCGUAUCCAGUGUCUAUAAUCUGCGGCAUAUUUCAUUGGCGGCGGUGCGCGUGCUUUUGCGUCGGAAGCGGCUUUUGUUGCUCUGUGCUUUUGCUGUGCGUGGUGUUGCUGGUGCCCUGUGUUGCGGUGGGACGUCAGAGUCAGUUUGUAUGCUGCGGGAAAUGGCUGCCGAGGAGGUAGGUCGAGAUUUCGGUCUUGGCUGUUAUAUCUUGGUGGUUUGUUGUCGUGGUUGAGACUGAGGUGCCUACAAUGUGCUUUUGAGUGCGCCGGGUUCUCAUUUGGUGGACUGUUUGGAUAGCUUGCUAUGCUUGUGGUUUUUUCAUCGGGUGAUUGAGUCUGGUGGUAACUUGUUGCUGUUCGGGACUUUGA
This 467-nucleotide ribosomal RNA is filed under the name uncultured Oomycota. RNAcentral's name for it is "LSU rRNA". The stretch from base 1 to 83 matches the Rfam family "Bacterial large subunit ribosomal RNA", at positions 476 to 559 of the family's 2925-position model. Lineage: Eukaryota; Oomycota. The record is from RNAcentral.